Molecule: ribosomal RNA, 354 nt
Filed under: uncultured Desulfobulbus sp.
Lineage: Bacteria; Pseudomonadati; Thermodesulfobacteriota; Desulfobulbia; Desulfobulbales; Desulfobulbaceae
Description: bacterial SSU rRNA
Rfam family: Bacterial small subunit ribosomal RNA
Source: RNAcentral
UCUGGAGACAGGUGCUGCAUGGCUGUCGUCAGCUCGUGUCGUGAGAUGUUGGGUUAAGUCCCGCACGAGCGCAACCCUUGCCUUUAGUUGCCAGCAGUUCGGCUGGGCACUCUAAAGGGACUGCCGGUGUUAAACCGGAGGAAGGUGGGGAUGACGUCAAGUCCUCAUGGCCUUUAUGACCAGGGCUACACACGUACUACAAUGGCCGAUACAAAGGGCAGCGACACUGCGAGGUGAAGCCAAUCCCGUAAAAUCGGUCUCAGUCCGGAUUGGAGUCUGCAACUCGACUCCAUGAAGUUGGAAUCGCUAGUAAUCGUGGAUCAGCAUGCCACGGUGAAUACGUUCCCGGGCCUU